This is a long non-coding RNA of Drosophila innubila, 86 nucleotides long. RefSeq lists it as uncharacterized. NCBI's taxonomy places the organism in Eukaryota, Metazoa, Arthropoda, Insecta, Diptera, Drosophilidae. The record is from RefSeq and is a predicted model, not a curated record. The transcript has 4 exons.
UAAACAAACGCGUGAGUGUUUUUGUACUUAAGGAUUGGCAAGCGUGCUUACAUACUAGUUCUGACGUUGCGACUAACAUCGCGACA